GUAUUUCAAUGAUUUCACGUACAAAAUUGAACAUGGUGGUCAAGUGAACGGAGUUGUUAACCUUGAACUCUUUGAACUCUAUCAGGUCAAAAAUUAACAUAACAUAGCCAAUUGCUUUCAUGUAUAUUUUAUGAAUGAAAAUAGUAGCGUCAUUACGGAGCGUGUUAUGGUUUAUUAUUAGACAACAAUAAUUAUGGCUGAAAAAGGAGCGUAUUUAACGGAUACAGUCAAAGCUAAACCCUCGAUUUUUGAAAUUGUUGCGCAAGAAUCUUUAGCCUCUACACUCGAGCCAGUCUUCAAAAAAAUCAUCUCGUAUUUGGUGUUGGUCAAUCCACAUCGAUAUGGAUGGCUUGAAAGAUGGUGCGAUGAGGCGUAUCUGGUUUUUAAUGCCGCUCUACAAUAUCACUAUCUCAAAAAAUAUUCGGCAUCAUUCUCCGAAACAUUUUAUGGGUUGAAACGUUCUUCAGUCGUGGCAGGUUCAGAUGGAAAGUUAUCUACUAAGCAAGAGAAAAUUUCUUUAUUGCUGUUAGUCGUCUUUCCGCACUUCAGAACCAAAUUAUUUAGGCUUGCGGAAGAAUAUAAAUUCGAAGUUGCUGAUGGUAAAAUACCUCAGAAGCGAUGGCAGAAACUUGUAAGGAAAUUGGUAAUAAAUGGAAACAUGAUAUUUCAUGUUAUUUAUGAAUGCCUAAUACUUUAUCGGUACCUGAGGUACAUGGCUGGACGGUCAGAAUAUUCAACUCCGCUUCUUUGGCUGGCUUCUGUUACAUUGUCUUACGCAGAUGGUAAAAAAUUCCUCACCAUCACUGACCUUCUGAUGAAGAUAAGACUCGGAACAUUGACCUUCAGUAAUGGCAUAGAUUUGUUUGGAAUGCUUUUUACUAGAUCACUUGAAUUUGGAGCUUUCUUUCUCCAGUUUCUUCGAUGGUGGAAUCAAGAAAAUUAUUACGUAAACCUGAUGGCUCUGCCUACACCUGUGCCUCCUGAGGUAAAUGAAAGGUUCCAAAAAUAGCGUUACAGUAUAAAGGAUUAUGUCCAAUCUGUCGGAAAGGUCGGCAAAUCCCCACAGCUCUGCCAGUUUCAGGGUACGUCUUCUGCUACCAGUGUAUUCUAAAAUACAUACGAGAAUACGAGAAAUGCCCGAUCACAAACUAUCCAGCCAAAGAGGAUGACUUGAUACGGUUAUAUGUAGAGUAGACAGUUUCAGAAUAACGUUUCAACUACAUACACUCACGAUACCAAAUGUGAAGAUGCACACAAAAUAGAAAUAAGUCUGAAGCUUCACUGAAAAGUAAUUAUGAUAUUACUUGAAGAAUAAUUGCUGCCUUCCUGUUUAGUAAAAUAGUAUAACAAUCCGUGUGGAUUGGGAAUAAUUGUGAUUCUUAACUUUUUUAUACUGAUGGAUACAUGUGACAGCAUCAAAUACCGAGUACUUGUAUAGAUAUGUAAGGUUUAGGUUUUUCAACUGUUAUACGUUCCAUGUGAAGAUACAUCAAUUUAUUCUUAUUUUCCUACCAUAAAAACACACAAGUGUAUAAAAAAGUGUAGUGUAAGAAACUUUUUUUGUUUCUGAAUAAUAAUUGAUUGAGAUAUAUAAGUAUAGAACUUUGCAAAGAAUGGAAUUCAUAAGCGUGGAUAAAAUAUGGAUGUCAGCAAUAGAGACAAAUAUUAAAUUACCUUAUUUAACUACGUGUACAUACAUGUAAACUUCUGCUAAGGUAGCAUGAUUUCUUGUAUUAAAUAUACUGUGAUUAUGUGAUAUUCGAUUAAA
Molecule: RNA transcript, 1768 nt
Organism: Neodiprion virginianus
Lineage: Eukaryota; Metazoa; Arthropoda; Insecta; Hymenoptera; Diprionidae
Gene: Pex12
Gene name: peroxisome assembly protein 12
Exons: 6
Source: RefSeq, a predicted model, not a curated record